Molecule: non-coding RNA, 384 nt
Organism: Pimephales promelas (fathead minnow)
Lineage: Eukaryota; Metazoa; Chordata; Actinopteri; Cypriniformes; Leuciscidae
Source: RefSeq, a predicted model, not a curated record
GAUGUUGAUUGGCUAUUUGAACUGACGUCAAACAUGGAUGGAUCGCGCAUUUUCAUCUGUUCAUCUGGACUUUCAUCAUGCACGUUUGCUGAUUCAAGUUCAAAACAAGGCUAAUCAAGAUGAUCUGGAAAUAAGAUGGACAUGACUCCAUCCUUGAUGAGAAAGGAUGUUGUGAUCAACAAGCCUCCUGUAAGCCAAAUACUUCAACGUUGGCCUGCACUUUUUAGAGAAAGUCAGGUGUAUCAAGAAUUCAACUGGGUGGUUGGGAAGAACCUUAAGCAAGAAUUUUAUGGGUCUCUUGAUCGUCACUGUCCUCAACUGAUUCAGAUCUUCAGGUCAAAGAGAGGUCUCGCCGGGCAGAUUUUGAGCAAUCUGCUGCAACAA